ACUCCUACGGGAGGCAGCAGUGGGGAAUAUUGGACAAUGGGCGGAAAGACCUGAUCCAGCAAUGCCGCGUGAGUGAUGAAGGCCUUAGGGUUGUAAAGCUCUUUUACCGGGAUGAUAAUGACAGUACCGGGAGAAUAAGCUCCGGCUAACUCCGUGCCAGCAGCCGCGGUAAUACGGAGGAGCUAGCGUUAUUCGGAAUUACUGGGCGUAAAGCGCACGUAGGCGGCUUUGUAAGUAAGAGGUGAAAGCCCAGAGCUCAACUCUGGAAUUGCCUUUUAGACUGCAUCGCUUGAAUCAUGGAGAGGUCAGUGGAAUUCCGAGUGUAGAGGUGAAAUUCGUAGAUAUUCGGAAGAACACCAGUGGCGAAGGCGGCUGACUGGACAUGUAUUGACGCUGAGUGCGAAAGCGUGGGAGCAAACAGGAUUAGAU
This 429-nucleotide ribosomal RNA is filed under the name uncultured bacterium. Its description in RNAcentral is "bacterial SSU rRNA". It matches the Rfam family "Bacterial small subunit ribosomal RNA", at positions 335 to 783 of the family's 1533-position model. The record is from RNAcentral.